CGUCACCUCUUCCUUUUCACCAGAGAUGCUGCCUGACCCGCUGAGUUACUUCAGCAUUUUGUGCCUAUCUUGGGAAUACUAGGUCUUUUUUCAUACAAGCUUCAUUCCAUCAUUGCCACACCCUGCCCUCCACAUGCAAUUAACAUGCUAAAGCUGCUGAGUUCAACCGAAGUAAGAUAUUUCAAGACCAUAGUCCAAAGCCAAGUGUUCUCGUUGAAAAACAGGAACAUUAAGUAGAAAGGCAAUUGUGAGCAAGUUAUAUAUUAUACUUACCCAUGAAUAAAUCCUUCUCUCCUGCCUUUCUCUUGGAGUCAUCGCAAAGUGAAGAUCGAGGAUGGAACCAGUCCUUCAUCGAUUCAGGGAGCAGCUCUUUGGCCACUGGGAUGGGGCUGAGGAGGAUUCUGGCAAUGACUUUCCCUGUGGCAGAUAGAAUAGAGAGAUCCCUUUGUAAGGGCCUGUUCCACUGACGUGACUUUGCCAGGGCCUGUCCCACUGACAUGAC
This is a long non-coding RNA of Amblyraja radiata (thorny skate), 502 nucleotides long. RefSeq lists it as uncharacterized. The transcript has 3 exons. Lineage: Eukaryota; Metazoa; Chordata; Chondrichthyes; Rajiformes; Rajidae. The record is from RefSeq and is a predicted model, not a curated record.